GGGUUGUGAGGUUAAGCGACUAAGCGUACACGGUGGAUGCCCUGGCAGUCAGAGGCGAUGAAGGGCGUGCUAAUCUGCGAUAAGCGCCGGUAAGGUGAUAUGAACCGUUAUAACCGGCGAUACCCGAAUGGGGAAACCCAGUGUGACUCGUCACACUAUCAUUAACUGAAUCCAUAGGUUAAUGAGGCGAACCGGGGGAACUGAAACAUCUAAGUACCCCGAGGAAAAGAAAUCAACCGAGAUUCCCCCAGUAGCGGCGAGCGAACGGGGAGGAGCCCAGAGCCUGAAUCAGCAUGUAUGUUAGUGGAAGCGUCUGGAAAGGCGCGCGAUACAGGGUGACAGCCCCGUACACAAAAGCGCAUGUGCUGUGAGCUCGAUGAGUAGGGCGGGACACGUGGUAUCCUGUCUGAAUAUGGGGGGACCAUCCUCCAAGGCUAAAUACUCCUGACUGACCGAUAGUGAACCAGUACCGUGAGGGAAAGGCGAAAAGAACCCCGGCGAGGGGAGUGAAAAAGAACCUGAAACCGUGUACGUACAAGCAGUGGGAGCACAGGUUUACCUGUGUGACUGCGUACCUUUUGUAUAAUGGGUCAGCGACUUAUAUUCUGUAGCAAGGUUAACCGUAUAGGGGAGCCGUAGGGAAACCGAGUCUUAAC
RNAcentral lists this ribosomal RNA (656 nucleotides) under Salmonella enterica subsp. enterica. RNAcentral describes it as "partial 23S ribosomal RNA". It matches the Rfam family "Bacterial large subunit ribosomal RNA", at positions 1 to 688 of the family's 2925-position model. Lineage: Bacteria; Pseudomonadati; Pseudomonadota; Gammaproteobacteria; Enterobacterales; Enterobacteriaceae. The record is from RNAcentral. RNAcentral also lists the same sequence under 1 other name.